UACGUAGGGUGCAAGCGUUGUCCGGAAUUAUUGGGCGUAAAGAGCUCGUAGGUGGUUUGUCGCGUUGUUCGUGAAAACUCACAGCUCAACUGUGGGCGUGCGGGCGAUACGGGCAGACUGGAGUACUGCAGGGGAGACUGGAAUUCCUGGUGUAGCGGUGGAAUGCGCAGAUAUCAGGAGGAACACCCGUGGCGAAGGCGGUUCUCUGGAACGCAACUGACGCUGAGACGCGAAAGCGUGGGGAGCAAACAGG
RNAcentral lists this ribosomal RNA (253 nucleotides) under uncultured bacterium. RNAcentral's name for it is "partial 16S ribosomal RNA". It matches the Rfam family "Bacterial small subunit ribosomal RNA", at positions 524 to 776 of the family's 1533-position model. The record is from RNAcentral.